UACAGAGGGGGCAAGCGUUAUUCGGAAUUAUUGGGCGUAAAGGGCUCGUAGGCGGCCAACUCAGUCGGACGUGAAAUCCCUCGGCUUAACCGGGGAACUGCGUCCGAUACUGGAUGGCUUGAGUGUGGGAGAGGGAUGCGGAAUUCCAGGUGUAGCGGUGAAAUGCGUAGAUAUCUGGAGGAACACCGGUGGCGAAGGCGGCAUCCUGGACUACUACUGACGCUGAGGAGCGAAAGCCAGGGGAGCAAACGGG
This 253-nucleotide ribosomal RNA is filed under the name uncultured bacterium. RNAcentral describes it as "partial 16S ribosomal RNA". It matches the Rfam family "Bacterial small subunit ribosomal RNA", at positions 524 to 776 of the family's 1533-position model. The record is from RNAcentral.